Zingiber officinale is the source of this 2434-nucleotide long non-coding RNA. RefSeq lists it as uncharacterized. The record is from RefSeq and is a predicted model, not a curated record. The transcript has 2 exons. Lineage: Eukaryota; Viridiplantae; Streptophyta; Magnoliopsida; Zingiberales; Zingiberaceae.
CCUAAGUUAAAUUCAUUUUAUUUCCUCCACUUUUUUCCUCCUGACUCCUCGCGCGCACCGACCCCUCCUCAUCGUGCCGUAGCCGACUCUCCUUCCCAACUCGACGUCGAGCCCCUCUCCUUCCCCGAUGUCCUCCUCAUCGGCUGAUCUCUUCCCCUCCUCUGCGUCACCGGCGCGGAUCCAGCCACUACCCUCUCCCUUGCGUCGUCUCCUCAGCCGACGACGCCCUUGGAACCUUGAAGCCGCAGCGCUGCCUCCUCUUCUCAUCGCGGACGCCAAGCACUCGCCGGAAACCGAAGCCACCACCGUCUACUUCCUCUGCCCUAGCGCCGACGGCCUCCCUCUACCCUAGCUCCCGAUUGCCGCCGACCUUCUCCCCGGCCAGGAUCGAGAGCUUCGACGUCGACAGCUACGAGCUCCGAUCGCCGUAGUCAGCGGCUGAGUGUGAGACGCAGGUGCCCUGUGAUUGCAACCGCCCACCCUUCUCCACAGAACCGUGUGAAGCCGACCAUCGUCCACGCGAGCACCGCGGACACUGCUCUACCGGCGGCAACCAUCGCCUGUGCCCUAACCCGAAUCCAGUGAGGCCAUUGCCUUUCUUUUCUCUCUUUGCCACGGGACGUCACAACCCAUAUCUUAGAUGGUUUCACUAGUCACCGUGAGUAGUCGCUACUCAUCGGAGAACAAGAAACAGAAGGAGGAGAAGGAAAGGUGAGCAGCAAGGUUCUUCGGCUGCGAGCCCUACAAUAGAGCUUUGAGAUUUGGGUGAGUUAUUGGAAUUGAUUCAAGUUUGUUUAUCCUAAGUUGAUUAUGGCAUGCUUAGGGUUAAAGUUGGAUUAACUCAAGUUUAGGCGGUAAAAUUGUUUUACCGAGACCUAAACAUAUAUUGGGGGUUAAACGACGAUCAUAUUUUGAUUGGAGUUAUCCUAUAUAGGUUUUGAGAUUUUAUUUAGCUAUUUGCUAUAUGUGUAAUUAGCUAAAUACAUUUAUGUCAUCGCAGGAUAUUGAUUCUAGAUGGGCGUCUUGACGUAAGAUUUCUGGUCAUGAUCGACUGAUAAAGACGAAUACUUCUGACUUAUCUCUUUGAUAUAGUCGUUUUAAAUAUGCAUAAUAGUAUAUAGCUAGUAACAAUGAUUAUGUUUGCAUUUGUUUUAGUAUGCCACUAUUUGGUUCUUGUAGUAUGUCUAUAUUCGUAUCUGUUAUACAUUCAUGCUUAUAUCAUAUUGAUUGUUGCCAUGUGUACUCCUGUUCUUAGAAAUAGUGACAUACAUUGACCUAUUGUGUAGUAGACUUGUUAUUUGCCAUAUCUGAUUUGUGUACUUAGAUUUAUGAUUCCUAAAUCAUUAUAUGAUUUAUUUCCUUUUUGUACAUUUUAUAUGGAGGUGUAUACUGUCAGUAUCUACAUGCUUAGUGUCAUGCACCAUCUUGCAUGAUUGCAUGCUGAGCGAUUGUCGGCUCUAUUAUUGUUGAGCACAUCGCCAGUUACAUAAUCUAGACACACCACUUAUGGGUUAGUUGUAAAUCAGGCAGGGUGUGUGCAGUUUGCUCUAUCAGGGCUCCGCUGGUCCACUCAUGGGCAGCGAUGACUGCAGCGUGUAGCGGGCACGGAUUCCUCCCCUUGACCAUGAUACAGGGAGAUGAGAGCAUUGAGCUCCCCCACUCCGUUUGGGGUAGGAGGAUAGGUGUACUCCGACAACAUCCUAUCCACUCGGUCACUCAGGAACAGUGAUAACAGAGUGCACAGUUAUCAUAGCCCUACCCACCCAGUCUCACCAUCGCGUGUGAGAUGGUUGACUGGUGUCAGAGGUGACCAUGCCAUUUUUAUAUCAUAUGUAUGAAUUACAUUUAUUAUUUGUGCUUGCUGCAUUAUGUAUGAUGCAUUUUGGUGGUUGCAUAUGAAUGACAUGCAUACAGGUGAUAUUUUGUAUCUGGUCUGACGACCCUUAUUUCCGGAUAGGAGGUUCUGGUACAGUUUCUUCAGUCUUUUCAGUCUUCAUUUCCUACUUUUGUUCAAGAAACUGAACCGCAUAAUUAUUACUGUUAGUUAUGCCUUAUUAUGCAUGUUUAUCCGGUAUCCACUGAGUUCUUGAACUCACCCUGUUGAUUAUUCUUAUUUCAGGUUGAAACUGUCAGGAGGUUCUAGUUGCUAGUCCCCUUGCCACAAGGAUUUUCGCUUUGGUCUUUUGGUUUUCUGUUUAUUUGCUUAGAGCUAUGUUUCAGACUUGUUCUAGUUUUGCACUCUGGAUUUUGGGUGUUUUGUUUUAAGGCAUUGUAAUGGUUGAACUUUUGCUUGCUUGGUGGAUUUUCUAUUUGGUAUGUUUAGCUACGCACCAGCCGGUAGGCAGAAGAGGUAAGUUUGGAUGUUGUUUUCGAUUUCUUUUCAUAUUGUGAUGACAUUCGGAGGCUGAUAUAUUAUAACUGCGUGGAUUGUUUA